GACGAACGCUGGCGGCGUGCUUAACACAUGCAAGUCGAACGGAAAGGCCCUGCUUUUGUGGGGUGCUCGAGUGGCGAACGGGUGAGUAACACGUGAGUAACCUGCCCUUGACUUUGGGAUAACUUCAGGGAACUGGGGCUAAUACCGGAUAGGAGCUCCUGCUGCAUGGUGGGGGUUGGAAAGUUUCGGCGGUUGGGGAUGGACUCGCGGCUUAUCAGCUUGUUGGUGGGGUAGUGGCUUACCAAGGCUUUGACGGGUAGCCGGCCUGAGAGGGUGACCGGCCACAUUGGGACUGAGAUACGGCCCAGACUCCUACGGGGGGCAGCGGGGGGGAAUAUUGCACAAGGGGCGGAAGCCUGAUGCAGCAACGCCGCGGGGGGGAUGACGGCCUUCGGGUUGUAAACCGCUUUCGCCUGUGACGAAGGGUGAGUGACGGUAAUGGGUAAAGAAGCACUGGCUAACUACGU
This 467-nucleotide ribosomal RNA is filed under the name uncultured bacterium. RNAcentral describes it as "partial 16S ribosomal RNA". It matches the Rfam family "Bacterial small subunit ribosomal RNA", at positions 28 to 506 of the family's 1533-position model. The record is from RNAcentral.